This 654-nucleotide long non-coding RNA is filed under the name Carica papaya (papaya). Its description in RNAcentral is "long non-coding RNA (CPAP_LNC011464)". Lineage: Eukaryota; Viridiplantae; Streptophyta; Magnoliopsida; Brassicales; Caricaceae. The record is from RNAcentral.
AAAGAGACUCCUGACUCUACCUAACAUACACCAAAGCAUAACAUUCAAGUAUAUCCAAGAGGAGAUUGCUUUGGAGCAAAACAAAGAAACAAAUUUAUUAAAAAAAUAAUUAGGAAAACAAAACAAACAAUAGAUACGUUUUUGAAAGAUUUGCUCACCUGGGUCACCUUAAAAUCUUGGUCAAACCCCAGGAUUCCACUCACCAUGGAGCUUUCCGCUUCUCCAAUCUCCCUCCUAUACAACUUUCCACUUGGGUAGGACAAAAGGCAAAGAAACAAAUCAGUAAACAUUGUAAAAACAAAUUAAUAAAGAGUAACUACGCAUAUAUAUAUAUAUAUAUAAUACCAUGUUCAAUGACAAGCAGAUUAAAAGUGGUAAGGCCAAAACUGCAUCGGUUUCGGCGUCAAUACGAAGAAGGAGGGGGAAAGGUACGAAGAAAGAGGAAGAAGAUUUGGUUAUGGUGUUUUACUCUGUUUACGAGUCAAUCCCAUGGAAAUUGAUUUUCGUUUGAGUGUCGAAGUACUGUUUGGUUGGUCGGAUUCGGUGACUCGUUUGCUUGUUUAAUAGUUUUUAUUAUUUUAGCGGCCAAAAAAUUCAUGGAGGCGUUGGUCCGUCAUUUGUAUAUUACCGGCCGUCUUAUUUGGACGAUUCACG